AGUUUCAGCUUGGACACUGAGCCAAGCAGACAAGCAAAGCAAGCCAGGACACACCAUCCUGCCCCAGGCCCAGCUUCUCUCCUGCCUUCCAACGCCAUGGGGAGCAAUCUCAGCCCCCAACUCUGCCUGAUGCCCUUUAUCUUGGGCCUCUUGUCUGGAGUACGUGUGUCCUUCUGGCUUCUACCCGUACCCUGUGCAGACACGUACCUGCAGAUCUACGGGGUCCUGGAGCACCCUGAAGACUCAAGACCAAAAGACUGUCAGGAAGGCAGAGUGCAGAGCAAUCCACUGUCCAAGACCACACGACUUCGAGAACGGGGAAUACUGGCCCCGGUCUCCCUACUACAAUGUGAGUGAUGAGAUCUCUUUCCACUGCUAUGACGGUUACACUCUCCGGGGCUCUGCCAAUCGCACCUGCCAAGUGAAUGGCCGGUGGAGUGGGCAGACAGCGAUCUGUGACAACGGAGCGGGGUACUGCUCCAACCCGGGCAUCCCCAUUGGCACAAGGAAGGUGGGCAGCCAGUACCGCCUUGAAGACAGCGUCACCUACCACUGCAGCCGGGGGCUUACCCUGCGUGGCUCCCAGCGGCGAACGUGUCAGGAAGGUGGCUCUUGGAGCGGGACGGAGCCUUCCUGCCAAGACUCCUUCAUGUACGACACCCCUCAAGAGGUGGCCGAAGCUUUCCUGUCUUCCCUGACAGAGACCAUAGAAGGAGUCGAUGCUGAGGAUGGGCACGGCCCAG
This 743-nucleotide unclassified non-coding RNA is filed under the name Homo sapiens (human). RNAcentral describes it as "complement factor B (multiple genes)". The record is from RNAcentral. Lineage: Eukaryota; Metazoa; Chordata; Mammalia; Primates; Hominidae.